ACAACCUUUACAUUCAGCAGAACAUCUCUCCCCCUUUUUCUUUUGACAAUCAAUCUCUCUCUCUCUCUCUCUCUCUCUCCAUAUUCUCCAAUAAUGGCUUCCUCUCUUCAUCCCGUUCUUCUUGUCUCAGUCUCGUGGAUCUCCCUCCUGGCUCUGCUAAUCUCACCCGCGCAAGCAGCCACCUGCACCUCACAGACAUUCAAGAACAACAAGCUCUACGCCCACUGCAGCGACCUCCCCUUCCUCAGCUCCUACCUCCACUGGACCUACAAUGCCUCCAACUCCUCUCUCUCCGUCGCCUUCGUGGCGAAGCCGGCCAAAUCUGACGGCUGGGUCGCGUGGGCCAUCAACCCCACCGCGACCAAGAUGGCUGGGGCCCAGACCCUCUUAGCCUACAAGACCGAGAACGGGGCACCAGCCGUCAACACAUUGAACAUCUCCUCGUACAGCUCCAUCGUGCCGGGAAAACUCUCGUUCGACGUCUGGGACGUCAGCGCGGAGUUUUCCAACGACACCUUCACGAUCUUCGCCACCGUCAAGGUCCCGAAGGACGCGGCAUCCGUGAACCAGGUCUGGCAGGUGGGCUCCGCCGUCAACAAGACCUCCGGUUUCCCCGAGAAGCAUGACGUCGCCCCACCCAAUCUCAAGUCGUUUGACACCUUGCCCUUGGGGGCCAAUUCCACUACGGGCACUCCCGCUGGUACUAAUACCACUACCAAUAGCACUGGUGGUGGUGGUAGCGGAGCCUUGAGGAUUGGGAGUGGAGGAAACAUGGUAUUGUUCUCUGUUUCGCUUUUGGUUCUUGGAGCUCUCAUUGCUCUCUAAAUUUAGUUUUUUUUUUUUUAUUUAUAAAUUUUUUUUCUUAUUGAUGAGUCCAAGUGGGAGAUGGAGAUUUCAACACUUUUAGGUGGAAAUAUUUAUUAUAUAUUCCAUGAUAUUUAUGAUUUCCCCAUUGAUUUAAAUUAUCUCUCCUCCUCAUCUGCAUCUUGAAUCGAUGAGAGAAAAGAGAUGGCUCUAGUUGGUCAUUAAUUAAUAGGGUGGAUCUUGAUGAGAGGAAAUGCUUGUACCAUUUAAUUUAGUUUAA
This 1084-nucleotide long non-coding RNA is filed under the name Prunus dulcis (almond). Its description in RNAcentral is "sRNA ncRNA". The record is from RNAcentral. Lineage: Eukaryota; Viridiplantae; Streptophyta; Magnoliopsida; Rosales; Rosaceae.